UACGUAGGGACCAAGCGUUGUUCGGAUUUACUGGGCGUAAAGCGCGCGUAGGCGGCUUAACAAGUCACUUGUGAAAUCUCCGGGCUUAACUCGGAACGGCCAAGUGAAACUGUCAAGCUAGAGUGCAGAAGGGGCAAUCGGAAUUCUUGGUGUAGCGGUGAAAUGCGUAGAUAUCAAGAGGAACACCUGAGGUGAAGACGGGUUGCUGGGCUGACACUGACGCUGAGGCGCGAAAGCCAGGGGAGCAAACGGG
Molecule: ribosomal RNA, 253 nt
Filed under: uncultured bacterium
Lineage: Bacteria
Description: partial 16S ribosomal RNA
Rfam family: Bacterial small subunit ribosomal RNA
Source: RNAcentral